RNAcentral lists this ribosomal RNA (253 nucleotides) under uncultured bacterium. RNAcentral describes it as "partial 16S ribosomal RNA". It matches the Rfam family "Bacterial small subunit ribosomal RNA", at positions 524 to 776 of the family's 1533-position model. The record is from RNAcentral.
UACAGGGGGGGCGAGCGUUGUUCGGAAUUACUGGGCGUAAAGGGUUUGUAGGUGGCUUGCUCAGUCAGACGUGAAGUCCCUCAGCUUAACUGGGGAACUGCGUCUGAUACUAGCGAGCUUGAGUGCAGGAGAGGAACGCGGAAUUCCAGGUGUAGCGGUGAAAUGCGCAGAUAUCAGGAGGAACACCGGUGGCGAAGGCGGGUCUCUGGGAAACAACUGACGCUGAGGAACGAAAGCGUGGGUAGCAAACAGG